UCCGGCUUAUCACCGGCGGUUUCUCUAGAGUGCCCAACUAAAUGAUGGCAACUAGAGACAAGGGUUGCGCUCGUUGCGGGACUUAACCCAACAUCUCACGACACGAGCUGACGACAGCCAUGCACCACCUGCACACAGGCCACAAGGGAAUACCUAUCUCUAGGCACGUCCUGUGCAUGUCAAACCCAGGUAAGGUUCUUCGCGUUGCAUCGAAUUAAUCCACAUGCUCCGCCGCUUGUGCGGGCCCCCGUCAAUUUCUUUGAGUUUUAGCCUUGCGGCCGUACUUCCCAGGCGGAGUGCUUAACGCGUUAGCUGCGGCACGGAGGGAGUCGACACCCCCCACACCUAGCACCCAUCGUUUACGGCGUGGACUAC
This 375-nucleotide unclassified non-coding RNA is filed under the name uncultured bacterium. RNAcentral describes it as "contains 16S-23S intergenic spacer region". The record is from RNAcentral.